This 900-nucleotide ribosomal RNA is filed under the name uncultured bacterium. RNAcentral's name for it is "bacterial SSU rRNA". It matches the Rfam family "Bacterial small subunit ribosomal RNA", at positions 51 to 944 of the family's 1533-position model. The record is from RNAcentral.
ACACAUGCAAGUCGAGGGGCAGCAUGAUUGAAGCUUGCUUCAAUCGAUGGCGACCGGCGCACGGGUGAGUAACACGUAUCCAACCUGCCGAUAACUCGGGGAUAGCCUUUCGAAAGAAAGAUUAAUACCCGAUAGUAUAGUAUUUCCGCAUGGUUUCACUAUUAAAGAAUUUCGGUUAUUGAUGGGGAUGCGUUCCAUUAGAUAGUUGGCGGGGUAACGGCCCACCAAGUCAACGAUGGAUAGGGGUUCUGAGAGGAAGGUCCCCCACAUUGGAACUGAGACACGGUCCAAACUCCUACGGGAGGCAGCAGUGAGGAAUACUGGUCAAUGGACGAGAGUCUGAACCAGCCAAGUAGCGUGAAGGAUGACUGCCCUAUGGGUUGUAAACUUCUUUUAUACGGGAAUAAAGUGGAGUAUGCAUACUCCUUUGUAUGUACCGUAUGAAUAAGGAUCGGCUAACUCCGUGCCAGCAGCCGCGGUAAUACGGAGGAUCCGAGCGUUAUCCGGAUUUAUUGGGUUUAAAGGGAGCGUAGGCGGGUGCUUAAGUCAGUUGUGAAAGUUUGCGGCUCAACCGUAAAAUUGCAGUUGAUACUGGGUACCUUGAGUGCAGCAUAGGUAGGCGGAAUUCGUGGUGUAGCGGUGAAAUGCUUAGAUAUCACGAAGAACUCCGAUUGCGAAGGCAGCUUACUGGACUGUAACUGACGCUGAUGCUCGAAAGUGUGGGUAUCAAACAGGAUUAGAUACCCUGGUAGUCCACACAGUAAACGAUGAAUACUCGCUGUUGGCGAUACACAGUCAGCGGCCAAGCGAAAGCAUUAAGUAUUCCACCUGGGGAGUACGCCGGCAACGGUGAAACUCAAAGGAAUUGACGGGGGCCCGCACAAGCGGAGGAACAUGUGG